UAAUACAGCUGAGUAACUCCAGGGGCC
This 27-nucleotide non-coding RNA is filed under the name Mus musculus (house mouse). The record is from RNAcentral. Lineage: Eukaryota; Metazoa; Chordata; Mammalia; Rodentia; Muridae.